Molecule: unclassified non-coding RNA, 354 nt
Filed under: soil metagenome
Description: partial contains 5.8S ribosomal RNA, internal transcribed spacer 2, and large subunit ribosomal RNA
Rfam family: 5.8S ribosomal RNA (bases 1-120)
Source: RNAcentral
GAUGAAGAACGUAGCGAAAUGCGAUAAGUAAUGUGAAUUGCAGAAUUCAGUGAAUCAUCGAAUCUUUGAACGCACAUUGCGCCCGCCAGUAUUCUGGCGGGCAUGCCUGUUCGAGGGUCAUUUCAACCCUCAGGCCCCCAGUGCCUGGCGUUGGGGAUCGGCGCGGCGCCCUCCGGGGCGCUGCCGGCCCCGAAAUUCAGUGGCGGUCUCGCUGUAGCCCUCCUCCGCGUAGUAGCACAACCUCGCGGCCUGGAGCUCGGCGGUGGCCAUGCCGUAAAACACCCCACUUCUGAAAGUUGACCUCGGAUCAGGUAGGAAUACCCGCUGAACUUAAGCAUAUCAAUAAGCGGAGGA